This is a long non-coding RNA of Mustela erminea (ermine), 871 nucleotides long. RefSeq lists it as uncharacterized. The record is from RefSeq and is a predicted model, not a curated record. Lineage: Eukaryota; Metazoa; Chordata; Mammalia; Carnivora; Mustelidae. The transcript is spliced from 6 exons.
CCAAUUUUGAGUUCCUUAAGAGCAGGCAAGGGCAAUGUCCUAGAUUUAUGUUUUAGUUCCUUACUAAACACAAAUCUUUUUGUGUGGUGAAAGAAAUGAAAAGCAAGACAUUGGAAAUGGCUUCUUCCUUAUCUGUCUGACACUCCCCCAAAUCUACUGGGGGAGAAGGAGUCACACCUCUCUGGAGACCAGCAGGCAGAAGCUCAGUGCGAGGUAUCUGGGGCACCACCCCUGGAGCCAUCAGCUGUGUCUGUGGGGCACUCGAGGACAGCAGGACUGUUACAGGCUGUGUCACCCUUGAAAUAAAAGUAGCCUCAGGAUUUGGAACAACCCAAGCAAGCACGAAGCCUGGCCUGGGGGGUGAGACAAGAUUAUAUCCACCCUUCUGGUUCACACAGCCCUCACUAGAGCUACUCAAGGACAACGUUUCAUCCACAUCUGCACCUUGAAGCCUCUGGUUGGAGGAAGGCGGUCUUUUUCAUUACUUAAGAAUACACAAUCCAAGCCUCUGGUUAAGGUAUGAUGAAAACUUGUGGCAAGUCUUCCAGCAGUACUGGUCUCCUACAUCAUCUCACUUAUCUCAUGCAGCUGGUAUCUAAGGAACUAAGAGGUCCAGGAGAUCAGUUAGUCUCAAAAUUCAGUUCAUCCAGAAGUGCACCAAGAGGAAACGAAGUUUCAAAAAUAUGGCUGGAUUAUUUCUUAAACAAUAAUAUAAAGCAAAAGAAGCACAGGAAAUGUUUGCAGGAUCUCAUUCCUUCCUAAUUAUUAAGACCUGAAACCUAUAUUGAAGAAAACCAGUCAUGGAUAAGAAAAUCACUUCUUCACAGCGGUUAAAGGAAAAAGUACCCAAAGAAAUAAAUGAACAUAUGAA